Long non-coding RNA from Octopus sinensis (East Asian common octopus), 485 nucleotides. RefSeq lists it as uncharacterized. The transcript is spliced from 3 exons. NCBI's taxonomy places the organism in Eukaryota, Metazoa, Mollusca, Cephalopoda, Octopoda, Octopodidae. The record is from RefSeq and is a predicted model, not a curated record.
UGAAGAGGUGAAGAAAUCCUUGCUUAUUGAAGAAAUCUCUAAAACUUUUGUAUAAAAACAAGAAUUUAAGCUUUGAGACUGAAACAAAUGCACCCUUCAUACAAUAUCCCCCCACCUAACAUAAACACAGAAUGAUCUCUAAUUGCUGUUUUUUUCUCCCCAAGAUAUCCCUGAUGAAGCAGAUUAUAAACAAGGGCAUUCCAGCUGUGAUCAUUUCACUAUUUCUUCAGGAAGCUGCAUCAGUUCUUACAGACUACUCUUGUCAGAAGUAGAUCCAUGCUUCCUUUGAAGUGAGGAAAAUAAUAAUGGCAGACCCUCAGCUUACACAAGAAAUGAAGAAGUAUGCUGUUAUUGUGAUUAUAAAAGCUGAGCAUGGUGAUUUAGAAAUAUCUCAAAUUUUAAAAGUUGCCUGAUCUUUCAUCUACAAAGUUUGUAAGGAGCUAGAGACUGAAGAUGGAAACGUAUCACCAGUAUCAAAGCAUAAA